CUCUCUCCAAACAAAACUCUCGGCGCGGAAUGCGCCAAGGACUACUCAAAAAUGGAUUGCCUGCAUCUCUGCGAUUUUCGCAAAGUGUGCUAGGCAUCUUAUCGUUUAAUAAAAAGACUCUCGGCAACGGAUAUCUAGGCUCUCGCAUCGAUGAAGAACGUAGCGAAAUGCGAUACUUGGUGUGAAUUGCAGGAUCCCGUGAACCAUCGAGUUUUUGAACGCAAGUUGCGCCCGAAGCCAUUAGGUUGAGGGCACGUCUGCCUGGGCGUCACGCAUCUAGUCGCCACCCCACUCAUAAUUAAAGAGUGGAGUGACGGAUGUUGGCUUCCCGUGCUCUUGAGGCGCGGCUAGCCUAAAUUUGAGUCUUCGGCGCGAGACGUCACGACAAGUGGUGGUUGAAAUCAUCAACUCGUGUGCUGUCGUGACCACUCGUGACACGGACUCCAUCGACCCUAGAGUCCUCGACCCAAAUUUGAGUUGCGGGCCUUCGACUGCGACCCCAGGUCAGGCGGGAUACCCGC
This 521-nucleotide ribosomal RNA is filed under the name Psychotria sp. ck79. Its description in RNAcentral is "eukaryotic LSU rRNA". The stretch from base 116 to 271 matches the Rfam family "5.8S ribosomal RNA". Lineage: Eukaryota; Viridiplantae; Streptophyta; Magnoliopsida; Gentianales; Rubiaceae. The record is from RNAcentral.